GACGAACGCUGGCGGCGUGCCUAAUACAUGCAAGUAGAACGCUGAAGAGAGGAGCUUUCUCUUCUUGGAUGAGUUGCUCACGGGUGAGUAACGCGUAGGUAACCUUCCUUGUAGCGGGGGAUAACUAUUGGAAACGAUAUCUAAUACCGCAUCACACUGGCUGACACAUGUCCUUUAUUUGAAAGGGGCAAUUGCUCCACUACAAGAUGGACCUGCGUUUUAUUAGCUAGUAGGUGAGGUAAUGGCUCACCUAGGCGACGGUACAUAGCCGACCUGAGAGGGUGGUCGGCCAAAAUGGGAAGGAGACAAGGCCCAGGACACUACGGGAGGGAGCAGUAGGGGAAUAUUGGCAAAGGGGGGAACGCUGACCGAGGAAAGCCGGGUGAGGGAAGAAGGGUGUCGGAUCGUAAAGGUCCGUUGUAAGGGAAGAAAGGGUGGGAGAGUGGAAAGUUCACACUGUGACGGUAGCUAAACAGAAAGGGACGGCUAACUACGUG
This 497-nucleotide ribosomal RNA is filed under the name uncultured bacterium. RNAcentral's name for it is "partial 16S ribosomal RNA". It matches the Rfam family "Bacterial small subunit ribosomal RNA", at positions 28 to 507 of the family's 1533-position model. The record is from RNAcentral.